This 201-nucleotide ribosomal RNA is filed under the name uncultured bacterium. Its description in RNAcentral is "partial 16S ribosomal RNA". It matches the Rfam family "Bacterial small subunit ribosomal RNA", at positions 328 to 538 of the family's 1533-position model. The record is from RNAcentral.
ACGCUCGACACCUACGGAGGCAGCAGUCGGGAAUAUUGCGCAAUGGAGGAAACUCUGACGCAGUGACGCCGCGUGCAGGAAGAAGGUUUUCGGAUUGUAAACUGCUUUAGACAGGGAAGAAAGAAAUGACAGUACCUGUAGAAUAAGCUCCGGCUAACUACGUGCCAACAGCCGCGGUAAUCUGAGCGGGCGUGGCAAGGC